ACACAUGGUACGUGGCACAUGUUUUUUUACUUUUUUAUAGACUAUACACUUUACAUGGUACAUGCCAUAAUUGCCAUUUAAUUUUUUGAUCAGAUUGUACACUUUAUUCAUGUACAUUGUACUUGUCAAAACGACCUUUUUGUGUUAAAAAACUCCACUCUUUUUUUGACGUAAGCGUGUCAAAGCCACUAGUUUUUUUUUCAGGGAGAAUCGAUGUGCCCUCCCGCGCGCAGAGAAUGAAAAUUUCAAUUUUUUUGGAGCGAAGCCCAUUCUAGUUGUACACUGACCGACCCUAAUCCUCGUUUUCCCAUCUGGCGUCGUCCUCUUCCUUUCUUAAUCCCGAUCCAAUCUUCCAAUCCCCUCCGCCGCUCCUCUCCCAGGCUCCCACCCCCGUCCACCUCCGCCGCCCCCACCAUCUACACAACAACCAUCGCCAUCGAGAGCCCGAAGAAAGCCACUGUUGCGCCGCCGCCGCUGCAGGCAGUCGGGCACGGCAGGAGGAGCCCUCCGUACGCCUGAUCUUCCCGACGCUGUCGGGCCACUCGUCCAUGGCGUGAUCUCCGUUGCCGCGUUUCCUCCCCGAUGCUGCACCCCAGAACGCGGCUGGCCCAUCCAGCUCAUUGACGCCCGCGUCACCAGGUCCUCCUCCAGCGUCCACUGCGGUGGGAGCAGAGGUGCAGCCCUGCCAUGACGGACACCUCCUUCCCGCGCGCCCGCGCCUCCAGGCGUCUGCUCGUCAUCGUCAGCCACCACGGUCAGCAAGGCCAACCUCCACGGCGACUGGAUCGGCCACCACCGCCACGAGGACGACCAUCCUCCAUGGCCACCCCACUGCCCGCCUCACCAUCGGAUCCGUCGUCCAGGGCCUACACCCGCGCAUGGUCGGCAGAUGUAUGGGUCGCCGGCCGCCUCUACAACGACGAGCACCGUGAAUUUUAUCUAGCUAUUUCCCUUUUUUGUAGGAUAUCCAGUAAAUUUUUGAAGUUUUGAUCUACUGAUGAACUAGGCGAUGUGAAACUGAUGAACUAAUUUACUUACUAUAAGUUAAUGAACACUCAAUUUCCAUCAAAAAAAUGAACACUCAAUUCAUACUGUUAGAAUUUGUGUUAUAUAGAUUUGGGGCACUUUUAUGUGCAUAGAUGCUUGGCACUUUUGAGAAAUAUUACAUCAGUUUGUUUGUGCAGCACAUCAGUUUUACUAUCAACACUUUGAGAAAUAUACAAUUCUAGUGCAACCUGUAUUUGCAUUCUAUAAGUUAGCUACUUUAUCACAUUCAUGUGUGCAUUGGCAAAGUACAUAUUCACAUGUAAAAUGGCUGUUUUGUUUAUAGUCCAGUUCCAAACAAAUUUAAGAGGAAUUCAUUUAGUUCGUGUUGAUACCAUAAGCUGCUACAUAUUUUGGCAGUUCAUUCAGUUCCAUUCCCUAUCAUCCUUUGCAGCUUCAGGUAUUACAUCUCAAUGUUUUUCGCAUGAUUCUUUCCAUAUAUUACUUUGAUGUGCCUAAUUUCUGGAGAGGCCUUUUUUUGCUAGUUGUUCAUCUAAGCUUACUGCUGCCUGAUGCAUGAACUGUGGUUUCUAAUCGGCAACAAGUAGUUGUACAAUAUUUGCAUCAUGUUUGAGAGUAAAGUUGAUAAAUCCAUGUAGGCCAAUUGAUUUGCCAUGCGGGUAGUGCUCUAUUCCCUACUAAUGCAGUGUGCUUGGUGUUAAAUUAAUGAGGUAAAACAGAAACUCGAGUUGCCUUGGUGCCAUGUUGUUGCUGAACUUACGGACUUCUGCACUCAAUAGGGAGCAGGUCUCCUAGCUAGCCACGGGAAGGAGCAUGGCUGCCGGUGGUGUCCGGCGUGGACGAAUUAACUCAGUCUGCUUCUAUGCAUUUUUUUUCCUUUUUGCAGUUGGCAGUGUUCUCAAUAGAAAAGGCAUGUGACUUUCUUAAUAAUUCUGGAUACUAGUCAUGUUUUGUUGACAAAGUAACCAAGUACUGAAUUUAUAUUCUAACUAGCCAAGAGAUAUAUGUUGCAAAGUUGGUUAUGUAGUUAUCUGUUCUCAGUUGGAUUCAUUAACUGAUUAGCUGAUUGCGGCCUUGUCCAAAACUGAGGUUAUAUCAGUUAAGUAUGUUCGCUUCGAAUCGGUUCAUUUGAUAUUGUUGUGCAUGUCGCUUGCAGUUUCUCUUCCCCAAUACAAACUUUGUAUGCCGUAUUUUAUUAGGCUACCAUUAUCAGCAAAUUUAACUUUAAACAGCAACUUUAAUCUUUAUAGGGACCAAUAUCUUCUGUUACUAAUAUGUUAAUAUUCGUGUUCCAAAUUCUAGCCCUUUGCUUGAUGAUGAUGCAACUCAUAUUUUAAGAAGUAGGGAUGGACAAAGGACCGAAACAACUGUUGAUGCCUUCAAGAAGUCACGACAAGAGGAAACUAGCAUAUGCUCCUUGUUCUGAUGAUGACGAGGGCUAUUCAGUUAUGUUCAAGAGGAAAAAAAUACUCAUUUGUUGAUCUAGUCCAUGUUAUCUAUCGAUGGUACAUGUCGCAUCAGGCUGCUAUGUAGCUCGUGUUAUUUUUCUCUCAUGUGUUAUGUGAAGUAUGAUCAUGGGGUAUGCCUCAAGAUCUGGCAGGUCUGGGAGCUCUACUUCAUCAACACAGAUCUGAGUUCUCGAAGAAAGAAUUGUACAGAAAGAUAGAGAUGCAAGAGAUGCAAAUGACAGGCAUCGGGAGGAGUUAGCCGCAAGACUUGAAGCACAAGAGAGAGCAUUUGAAGAGAUACAGAAGAAGCAACAAGACGAAUUGGAUGCCCUAAAGAAGAGCCAUCAAGAGAACAAUGAAGCCUGGGCAAAGAAGCAACAAGAGACGAAUAAUCUUAUUAGUUUCCUCUUGAGGGCUCAAGCAACUCAGCAGUCCGAGUCCAAACCUGAUGGUGCAUGAAAGCCAUCCUUCCGUGAUGGAAAGAUAGUUGCUGAAUCAUACAUUGUGAUCAUUGGGACAACACAUGUGGUCUCUAGUUAAUUAUUAGUUUUCAUCUUUUUCUAUUGUAUGUGCCAAACUGAGUCAGUGUUAUUUUUUACCGUCAUUUUUGUUUAAAGAAUGAUUUAGUUGAGACGAUUUCAUAUAUAAUAUGAUUUUUAUUUCGUAUCAACUUAUGAUGUGAUUUGGCUCUUUAAAUUGUUUAUAUAAUCUUAUGUGAAUUAAAUACUUACUGUGAUAUGCAUUUGGAAUAUAGUGGAUUUGAUAAUUCAUCGUAAUUUAAAUUUGAAAGAAAGUAAUUAUAUUUUGAUGACUUCAACUUCAUCCAUAAUAAAAUUAGCUACGCUACUAGUGGGAUAGCUGCUCGGGUGUUGACGUGGCAUAAAUUUAGUGACGUUGCUUUGUCACUAGACAUGGUACAAUAUGGCAUAUUUUCUCCUAACAUGUGACAUUCAUCGACCGUCAUGGAAGUAGCAAGUCGAUGACGUUCUAUAUAACGUCAUCGAAGGUCCCCAUUUCAAUGACGUUUUAUAGCUUGCGCCGUCACUACAAGUAAUUUGUGACGGGGAUUCCGUGACGAUGCUCGUGACGCCCAUAAAAUGUCACUCGGGGGUAAUUUGUGACGUUAUUAGCUAUUCGAUGACAUUUUUUUGCUCGUCAUAGUAGGUCCGAUCUCUUGUAGUAUUGGCACAUCACCACCGACAGAUACGUGAUGUUGGGGCCCGGCGCAACACCAGAUCAG
This is a long non-coding RNA of Aegilops tauschii subsp. strangulata, 3693 nucleotides long. RefSeq lists it as uncharacterized. Lineage: Eukaryota; Viridiplantae; Streptophyta; Magnoliopsida; Poales; Poaceae. The record is from RefSeq and is a predicted model, not a curated record.